This is a small nucleolar RNA of Cricetulus griseus (Chinese hamster), 128 nucleotides long. Lineage: Eukaryota; Metazoa; Chordata; Mammalia; Rodentia; Cricetidae. The record is from Ensembl.
AGGUCAUUUCAAAAGGUUUUGUCAGACUGUGGGACAAAAAACUCUUAGGGCUGUGACUGAAAAAUGAAGGUUUCUCCAGGAAGCUGUAAAUGCUCAAUAGUGACCUAUUUUCCUGAGGAGAUAUAAAG